UCCCCGUUAUCCUGGGCAGUCCCUCCAGAGUUCCCGGCUUUCACCGGGCUCCAGGACAUGUCAAGGGUAGGUAAGGUUUUUCGCGUUGCAUCGAAUUAAUCCACAUAAUCCACCGCUUGUGCGGGUCCCCGUCAAUUCCUUUGAGUUUUAACCUUGCGGCCGUACUCCCCAGGCGGUCGACUUCACGCGUUAGCUUCGUUACUGAGAGUGUCAAACCCCCAACAACCAGUCGACAUCGUUUAGGGCGUGGACUAC
RNAcentral lists this unclassified non-coding RNA (255 nucleotides) under uncultured Gammaproteobacteria bacterium. RNAcentral's name for it is "contains 16S-23S intergenic spacer region". Lineage: Bacteria; Pseudomonadati; Pseudomonadota; Gammaproteobacteria. The record is from RNAcentral.